RNAcentral lists this small RNA (28 nucleotides) under Bombyx mori (domestic silkworm). RNAcentral's name for it is "piRNA piR-bmo-1333515". The record is from RNAcentral. Lineage: Eukaryota; Metazoa; Arthropoda; Insecta; Lepidoptera; Bombycidae.
UAAGAUGUGGUUCUGGUUUUGUGGAUAC